CAGCAGCCGCGGGAAUACGGAGGGGGCUAGCGUUGUUCGGAAUUACUGGGCGUAAAGCGCACGUAGGCGGCUUGGUAAGUUAGAGGUGAAAGCCCGGAGCUCAACUCCGGAAUUGCCUUUAAGACUGCCGAGCUAGCAGGUGAGAGAGGUAAGUGGAAUUCCGAGUGUAGAGGUGAAAUUCGUAGAUAUUCGGAAGAACACCAGUGGCGAAGGCGGCUUACUGGCUCAUACUGGACGCUGAGGUGCGAAAGCGUGGGGAGCAAACAGGAUUAGAUACCCGUGUAGUCCCUGUCUCUUAUAU
RNAcentral lists this ribosomal RNA (301 nucleotides) under uncultured bacterium. RNAcentral describes it as "partial 16S ribosomal RNA". It matches the Rfam family "Bacterial small subunit ribosomal RNA", at positions 509 to 809 of the family's 1533-position model. The record is from RNAcentral.